GUGUCAGCAGCCGCGGUAAUACGUAGGCAGCGAGCGUUGUUCGGAGUUACUGGGCGUAAAGCGUGCGUAGGCGGUGUCCUAAGUCUGGUGUGAAAUCUCCCGGCUCAACUGGGAGGGUGCGCUAGAAACUGGGAUGCUGGAGUGUGGGAGAGGUAAGCGGAAUUCCUGGUGUAGCGGUGAAAUGCGUAGAUAUCAGGAGGAACACCUGCGGUGUAGACGGCUUACUGGACCAUGACUGACGCUGAGGCACGAAAGCGUGGGGAGCAAACAGGAUUAGAAACCCCUGUAGUCC
RNAcentral lists this ribosomal RNA (292 nucleotides) under uncultured bacterium. Its description in RNAcentral is "partial 16S ribosomal RNA". It matches the Rfam family "Bacterial small subunit ribosomal RNA", at positions 505 to 796 of the family's 1533-position model. The record is from RNAcentral.